This 1344-nucleotide ribosomal RNA is filed under the name Triticum aestivum (bread wheat). RNAcentral describes it as "partial small subunit ribosomal RNA". Lineage: Eukaryota; Viridiplantae; Streptophyta; Magnoliopsida; Poales; Poaceae. The record is from RNAcentral.
AUGGACAUGGACUCCUUUAUCGUUCUCCUCUUCCUCUUUCUUGCGCGAGCGGAGGCGGCGAGCCACGGCGUUGGUAGAGAAGGCAAGGCUGGGGGAGCGGUGCUCCUUCCGCUCAGGCUGCAGGAGGUGGCGCCCCCGCCGCGAGCGCCGGCGAACCGGCUGCGGUUCCGCCACAAUGUGAGCCUCACGGUGUCGGUGGCUGUCGGCACGCCGCCGCAGAACGUCACGAUGGUGCUCGACACCGGCAGCGAGCUCUCCUGGCUGCUCUGCAACGGGAGCUCCGUGUCGCCGCCCGCGCCGUUCAACGCGUCCGCUUCUUUCACAUACGGCGCCGUCGAUUGCUCGUCGCCGGCGUGCGUGUGGCGCGGACGUGACCUGCCCGUCCGCCCGUUCUGUGACGCGCCGCCGUCCACCGCCUGCCGCGUCUCCAUCUCCUACGCAGACGCCUCCUCGGCCGACGGCCUCCUCGUUGCCGACACCUUCGUCCUCGGCGCGCAGGCCGUGCCCGCCCUGUUCGGCUGCAUCACCUCCUAUUCCUCCAGCACGGCCGCCAACAACAACGCCACUGACCCGUCGGAGGCGGCGACCGGCCUACUCGGCAUGAACCGUGGCAGCCUCUCCUUCGUGACGCAGACGGCGACCCUCCGCUUCGCCUACUGUAUCGCCCCCGGCCAAGGACCCGGCAUCCUCCUCCUCGGCGGCGACGGCGGCGCGGCCCCGCCGCUGAACUACACGCCGCUGAUAGAGAUUUCCCAGCCGCUGCCGUACUUCGACCGGGUGGCCUACUCCGUGCAGCUGGAGGGCAUCCGCGUGGGGCGCGCCCUGCUCGCCAUCCCCAAGUCCGUGCUCACGCCGGACCACACGGGCGCCGGGCAGACCAUGGUGGACUCCGGCACGCAGUUCACCUUCCUCCUGGCCGACGCCUACGCGGCGCUCAAGGGCGAGUUCCUGAACCAGACGCGGUCGCUGCUCGCCCCGCUCGGCGAGCCGGGCUUCGUGUUCCAGAGCGCGUUCGACGCGUGCUUCCGCGGCCCGGAGGAGCGAGUGUCGGCGGCAAGCCGGCUUCUCCCCGAGGUGGGCCUGGUGCUCCGCGGCGCGGAGGUGGCCGUGGCCGGGGAGAAGCUCCUGUACAGUGUACCCGGCGAGCGGCGCGGGGAGGAGGGGGAGGAGGCUGUGUGGUGCCUGACGUUCGGGAACUCGGACAUGGCCGGCAUGUCGGCGUACGUGAUCGGGCAUCACCACCAGCAGGACGUGUGGGUGGAGUACGACCUUCAGAACGGCCGAGUCGGCUUCGCGCCGGCGCGCUGUGAGCUCGCCACCCAGCGCCUCGGCGCCCAAGUGUAG